GAUCCGUACCCCAUCCCGCUCCACCGAGCGCACCAAGGUGCCUGAUUUGGCAGCUAUGGAGGCCAUCACCAAGGUCCUGCGAGUUUGAAGGACCAGAAGGUCCAAGGGCCUGCCCACCAAGGCCGCCAAGGUGAAGUGUGAAUCCAAGUUCGAAGCUGUGAAGCAUAUCAACAAAGACUAGCAUAUUAUGUGUUGUAAAUGUAGGCAGUAGUAGGCUUAUCUAGGCUGUAGUAUACUGUAACGUUUGUAAUAGACUAGUGUCGUG
Molecule: long non-coding RNA, 265 nt
Organism: Triticum dicoccoides
Lineage: Eukaryota; Viridiplantae; Streptophyta; Magnoliopsida; Poales; Poaceae
Exons: 3
Source: RefSeq, a predicted model, not a curated record